CCUUAGUCAGCGUUGGGUCUCCCAAGUGGUUUCACAACUUAGAGGAUCUGACAGAGGGUACAGAACUUCUACGCUCUCCAAUCUAACUUUUAGAGAUCACGGACCUUUCUGCAGAACAAGGUCGGACUAUACAUAUCUGGCAGUAGUGUCUAGGAAAUUGAGAUCAAUCAGCAUUAGACAACAGCAAAGUGAUUUUCAGAUGGCGAGUGUUUUAAAACAUCAACGCAAUUUACAUGACAACAAUUUGGGGGCAGCCUACCGCUUUAGUACAUCCGUGACCUAAGCCAAUUCCUCGAAUUACGGAACAAGGAGAAGAAGAAGACAUAGGUCACGUUUUUGACGGAGGAGAAAAUAACGUCGAUCAAGCGGCUACAUACCCUGAGGAGUGUUUCAUCACAUUGAACGGAUUCUUUCGACUAAGAGACGAAAAAU
Molecule: long non-coding RNA, 432 nt
Organism: Hemibagrus wyckioides
Lineage: Eukaryota; Metazoa; Chordata; Actinopteri; Siluriformes; Bagridae
Exons: 4
Source: RefSeq, a predicted model, not a curated record